UACAGAGGUCUCAAGCGUUGUUCGGAUUCAUUGGGCGUAAAGGGUGCGUAGGUGGCGGGGUAAGUCAGGUGUGAAAUCUCGGGGCUCAACCCCGAAACUGCACUUGAUACUGCCUUGCUCGAGUACUGGAGAGGAGAUUGGAAUUUACGGUGUAGCAGUGAAAUGCGUAGAUAUCUGGAGGAACACCGGUGGCGAAGGCGGCAUCCUGGACCGGUAUUGACGCUGAGGCGCGAAAGCUAGGGGAGCAAACGGG
Molecule: ribosomal RNA, 253 nt
Filed under: uncultured bacterium
Lineage: Bacteria
Description: partial 16S ribosomal RNA
Rfam family: Bacterial small subunit ribosomal RNA
Source: RNAcentral